This 72-nucleotide transfer RNA is filed under the name Danionella translucida. It matches the Rfam family "tRNA". From Rfam's summary of the family: Transfer RNA (tRNA) molecules are approximately 80 nucleotides in length. Lineage: Eukaryota; Metazoa; Chordata; Actinopteri; Cypriniformes; Danionidae. RNAcentral also lists the same sequence under 1 other name. The record is from Rfam by way of RNAcentral.
GGCUCGUUGGUCUAGGGGUAUGACUCUUGCUUCAGGUGCGAAAGGUCCUGGGUUCAAAUCCCGGACGAGCCC